GAGAAAUACAAAGGGUUAGACUGGGGAGGAGGAGAGCUCUUGUGGACUUAAAGUGAGAUGAAGCAAAUGUAAUUAGCCAACCAGAUUCAGUUAAUUAAGUUCAUCAAAUUAAGCUUUCAACGACAGUUUCAUAUUCAGGCCUGGGCUGCACUUAAAUCCAGACUCAGGUCUGGGCUGCACUUUAAUCCAGACUCAGGUCUGGGCUGCACUUGAAUCCAGACUCAGUCCUGGGCUGCACUUAAAUCCAGACUCAGGUCUGGGCUGCACUUAAAUCCAGACUCAGGUCUGGGCUGCACUUAAAUCCAGACUCAGGUCUGGGCUGCACUUAAAUCCAGACUCAGGUCUGGGCUGCACUUAAAUCCAGACUCAGGUCUGGGCUGCACUUAAAUCCAGACUCAGGUCUGGGCUGCACUUAAAUCCAGACUCAGGUCUGGGCUGCACUUAAAUCCAGACUCAGGUCUGGGCUGCACUUAAAUCCAGAAAUGUGGUUGAAUGAACAUUGUUUACAUAUAUUUGUAGACUAAAUGUCCAUAAAUAACUAUGUAUUUACAUGGAAAUGACCCUGGUUAUUUACUUUUUAAAAUUCUUGGACUCAAUAAACUAGGACUGUUAACUUGGUUUUUAAACCUGUUUUUAAGAGGCUUAUAUAUGGAUUUACUUUCCAUGAAACCGGCCAGUGUUUAAGCACUACUAAAACAGAGCUUUGUAUCUUCUCUAUGUU
Oncorhynchus keta (chum salmon) is the source of this 721-nucleotide long non-coding RNA. RefSeq lists it as uncharacterized. NCBI's taxonomy places the organism in Eukaryota, Metazoa, Chordata, Actinopteri, Salmoniformes, Salmonidae. The transcript is spliced from 3 exons. The record is from RefSeq and is a predicted model, not a curated record.